Molecule: ribosomal RNA, 2904 nt
Filed under: Escherichia coli
Lineage: Bacteria; Pseudomonadati; Pseudomonadota; Gammaproteobacteria; Enterobacterales; Enterobacteriaceae
Description: 23S ribosomal RNA
Rfam family: Bacterial large subunit ribosomal RNA
Source: RNAcentral
GGUUAAGCGACUAAGCGUACACGGUGGAUGCCCUGGCAGUCAGAGGCGAUGAAGGACGUGCUAAUCUGCGAUAAGCGUCGGUAAGGUGAUAUGAACCGUUAUAACCGGCGAUUUCCGAAUGGGGAAACCCAGUGUGAUUCGUCACACUAUCAUUAACUGAAUCCAUAGGUUAAUGAGGCGAACCGGGGGAACUGAAACAUCUAAGUACCCCGAGGAAAAGAAAUCAACCGAGAUUCCCCCAGUAGCGGCGAGCGAACGGGGAGGAGCCCAGAGCCUGAAUCAGUGUGUGUGUUAGUGGAAGCGUCUGGAAAGGCGCGCGAUACAGGGUGACAGCCCCGUACACAAAAAUGCACAUGCUGUGAGCUCGAUGAGUAGGGCGGGACACGUGGUAUCCUGUCUGAAUAUGGGGGGACCAUCCUCCAAGGCUAAAUACUCCUGACUGACCGAUAGUGAACCAGUACCGUGAGGGAAAGGCGAAAAGAACCCCGGCGAGGGGAGUGAAAAAGAACCUGAAACCGUGUACGUACAAGCAGUGGGAGCACGCUUAGGCGUGUGACUGCGUACCUUUUGUAUAAUGGGUCAGCGACUUAUAUUCUGUAGCAAGGUUAACCGAAUAGGGGAGCCGAAGGGAAACCGAGUCUUAACUGGGCGUUAAGUUGCAGGGUAUAGACCCGAAACCCGGUGAUCUAGCCAUGGGCAGGUUGAAGGUUGGGUAACACUAACUGGAGGACCGAACCGACUAAUGUUGAAAAAUUAGCGGAUGACUUGUGGCUGGGGGUGAAAGGCCAAUCAAACCGGGAGAUAGCUGGUUCUCCCCGAAAGCUAUUUAGGUAGCGCCUCGUGAAUUCAUCUCCGGGGGUAGAGCACUGUUUCGGCAAGGGGGUCAUCCCGACUUACCAACCCGAUGCAAACUACGAAUACCGGAGAAUGUUAUCACGGGAGACACACGGCGGGUGCUAACGUCCGUCGUGAAGAGGGAAACAACCCAGACCGCCAGCUAAGGUCCCAAAGUCAUGGUUAAGUGGGAAACGAUGUGGGAAGGCCCAGACAGCCAGGAUGUUGGCUUAGAAGCAGCCAUCAUUUAAAGAAAGCGUAAUAGCUCACUGGUCGAGUCGGCCUGCGCGGAAGAUGUAACGGGGCUAAACCAUGCACCGAAGCUGCGGCAGCGACGCUUAUGCGUUGUUGGGUAGGGGAGCGUUCUGUAAGCCUGCGAAGGUGUGCUGUGAGGCAUGCUGGAGGUAUCAGAAGUGCGAAUGCUGACAUAAGUAACGAUAAAGCGGGUGAAAAGCCCGCUCGCCGGAAGACCAAGGGUUCCUGUCCAACGUUAAUCGGGGCAGGGUGAGUCGACCCCUAAGGCGAGGCCGAAAGGCGUAGUCGAUGGGAAACAGGUUAAUAUUCCUGUACUUGGUGUUACUGCGAAGGGGGGACGGAGAAGGCUAUGUUGGCCGGGCGACGGUUGUCCCGGUUUAAGCGUGUAGGCUGGUUUUCCAGGCAAAUCCGGAAAAUCAAGGCUGAGGCGUGAUGACGAGGCACUACGGUGCUGAAGCAACAAAUGCCCUGCUUCCAGGAAAAGCCUCUAAGCAUCAGGUAACAUCAAAUCGUACCCCAAACCGACACAGGUGGUCAGGUAGAGAAUACCAAGGCGCUUGAGAGAACUCGGGUGAAGGAACUAGGCAAAAUGGUGCCGUAACUUCGGGAGAAGGCACGCUGAUAUGUAGGUGAAGUCCCUCGCGGAUGGAGCUGAAAUCAGUCGAAGAUACCAGCUGGCUGCAACUGUUUAUUAAAAACACAGCACUGUGCAAACACGAAAGUGGACGUAUACGGUGUGACGCCUGCCCGGUGCCGGAAGGUUAAUUGAUGGGGUUAGCGCAAGCGAAGCUCUUGAUCGAAGCCCCGGUAAACGGCGGCCGUAACUAUAACGGUCCUAAGGUAGCGAAAUUCCUUGUCGGGUAAGUUCCGACCUGCACGAAUGGCGUAAUGAUGGCCAGGCUGUCUCCACCCGAGACUCAGUGAAAUUGAACUCGCUGUGAAGAUGCAGUGUACCCGCGGCAAGACGGAAAGACCCCGUGAACCUUUACUAUAGCUUGACACUGAACAUUGAGCCUUGAUGUGUAGGAUAGGUGGGAGGCUUUGAAGUGUGGACGCCAGUCUGCAUGGAGCCGACCUUGAAAUACCACCCUUUAAUGUUUGAUGUUCUAACGUUGACCCGUGAUCCGGGUUGCGGACAGUGUCUGGUGGGUAGUUUGACUGGGGCGGUCUCCUCCUAAAGAGUAACGGAGGAGCACGAAGGUUGGCUAAUCCUGGUCGGACAUCAGGAGGUUAGUGCAAUGGCAUAAGCCAGCUUGACUGCGAGCGUGACGGCGCGAGCAGGUGCGAAAGCAGGUCAUAGUGAUCCGGUGGUUCUGAAUGGAAGGGCCAUCGCUCAACGGAUAAAAGGUACUCCGGGGAUAACAGGCUGAUACCGCCCAAGAGUUCAUAUCGACGGCGGUGUUUGGCACCUCGAUGUCGGCUCAUCACAUCCUGGGGCUGAAGUAGGUCCCAAGGGUAUGGCUGUUCGCCAUUUAAAGUGGUACGCGAGCUGGGUUUAGAACGUCGUGAGACAGUUCGGUCCCUAUCUGCCGUGGGCGCUGGAGAACUGAGGGGGGCUGCUCCUAGUACGAGAGGACCGGAGUGGACGCAUCACUGGUGUUCGGGUUGUCAUGCCAAUGGCACUGCCCGGUAGCUAAAUGCGGAAGAGAUAAGUGCUGAAAGCAUCUAAGCACGAAACUUGCCCCGAGAUGAGUUCUCCCUGACUCCUUGAGAGUCCUGAAGGAACGUUGAAGACGACGACGUUGAUAGGCCGGGUGUGUAAGCGCAGCGAUGCGUUGAGCUAACCGGUACUAAUGAACCGUGAGGCUUAACCUU